This 68-nucleotide transfer RNA is filed under the name pig gut metagenome. It matches the Rfam family "tRNA". From Rfam's summary of the family: Transfer RNA (tRNA) molecules are approximately 80 nucleotides in length. The record is from RNAcentral.
CAGGUGUGGUUCAAUGGUAGAACAUCAGCCUUCCAAGCUGAGAACGUGAGUUCGAUUCUCAUCACCUG